RNAcentral lists this transfer RNA (98 nucleotides) under Pontiella desulfatans. Its description in RNAcentral is "tRNA-Gly(gcc)". Lineage: Bacteria; Pseudomonadati; Kiritimatiellota; Kiritimatiellia; Kiritimatiellales; Pontiellaceae. The record is from RNAcentral.
GGCCACCUUGGUCGGGGAGCCGGCGAGACCGAUGUUGCCUUCGUCGGGCUGAAGCUCGUCGAAGCCCCAGCAGGGGAUCUCGGCCUUCUUGGCGGCCA